RNAcentral lists this ribosomal RNA (440 nucleotides) under uncultured bacterium. Its description in RNAcentral is "partial 16S ribosomal RNA". It matches the Rfam family "Bacterial small subunit ribosomal RNA", at positions 338 to 794 of the family's 1533-position model. The record is from RNAcentral.
CCUACGGGUGGCAGCAGUGGGGAAUAUUGCACAAUGAGGGAAACCCUGAUGCAGCAACGCCGCGUGGGUGAAGGAGCGUUUCGGCGCGUAAAGCCCUGUCAUCAGGGAAGAAGAAAGACGGUACCCGACCAAGAAGCCCCGGCUAACUACGUGCCAGCAGCCGCGGUAAUACGUAGGGGGCGAGCGUUAUCCGGAAUUACUGGGCGUAAAGGGAGCGUAGACGGCGAGGUAAGCCUGAAGUGGAAGCCCGCGGCACAACCGCGGAACUGCGUUGGGAAAUGUUUUGCUGGAGUAUGGGAGGGGUAAGCGGAAUUCCUGGUGUAGCGGUGAAAUGGGUAGAUAACAGGAGGAACACCGGUGGCGAAGGCGGCUUACUGGACCAUAACGGACGUUGAGGCUCGAAAGCGUGGGGAGCGAACAGGAUUAGAUACCCUUGUAGC